UCUGAAGCCCUAAUCCCUCACUCGCUCAUUUUGUAGCCCUAAUCUUUUACUCACUCACUCUCUCGUUCGCUCUCUCUCUGAACCCUCUCAAUGGAUCGAUUCAUCUCAAUGGAUCAAUUCAUCUCAGAAUGAUACAAUCUCGGUGAUUCAUCUUGGCUAUUUUGAUUUUGAUUUCGAUGUUUAUCUUAUUUGGAAUCCUCACGGCUUCAAAUCUCGCCUCUCUCAACCCUCUCUAAGCCCUUAUCAUUCUCACAUAUUCAUCUUUGAGAUUCAAAGCAAUUUCGAUUUCGAAUCUCCACCACCAGCACCGUCUGCACCGGCUCGAUUUCUCUGAUUUCGAUUUCGAUUUCGAAGCUCCACCGCCACCACCAUCUGCACCAGUGAGAUCCAGAUGAUCCACUGAAGACUACUGAUCAGACCAGGCAUCUUGGCUUAAUCGUAUGUUCUCUGUAGUCAUUAAAAUUUGAACAUAAAAUUUGCAAUGGAGUUCUUAUCUUUAAUGUACUGCAAAGAUUUUUAAUUUUUGUGGAAAAUCCUCUUUAUGGAAUUUUUAAAAAAAAUCUGAAUUGGAAAAUUCUUGCAUUUUUGUUUUGAUUAAGUUUUAAUUGGGGUAAAGAACUGGAGUAUUUAGACUAACUGAAACCAUGAAAUACCGUAGCCAGGACAUAGAUAACAAGUUUUUAUAUGUAGUAGGCUCCUUUUAUAAAAGUUCCGUAGCUUGGUAUGUUCAACAAGAAAUUUGGUUUCAUAAAUGAAGCUUUGCAUUGUUUCUUUUUGUUUUUUUGUUUUUAAAAUUUUUUUUUUAUUAAGCAGGCAACAAGUUUUGCUGCAUCUUUGGGAGAGCAUCAAAUUAUGCAUGAGUCUUUAGGUUUUGAUACUGCAAAUUCUCUUUUCUCAGCACUUAAAUGGGAAACAAGGGUUAUCAUAGGCUUCGUAUUUGUUGGAGUUUUUGAAAACAGUUUUCUGUUCUAGGAGUCACGUAAAACAAAAAAUAGAAUUGAAAAUUUGUUAAGUUCAUUGUUCUCAGGAGCUAUUUUCAGGAAAAAAAAAAAGGAGUUAAAAAAGAACCAGUUUUCAGAGAAACACCAGAAUUCUGUUCUGUUUUUUUUUUUUAUACGAGUUUCUUUUUGUAAUUCAAUCUACAGUGCAUAGAAUGCCCUUGAUUUGAGUCUAAAUUUCUGCCCCUCACCCUUUGUUCUUCUUGAUGAGAUAUUUGAGGACAAUGAUAGGAAAAAUAGAGUUUGAAUGCUACAUUCUUUCCACACAAAAAAAGAAAAAAAGAAAAAAUAAAUAAAAAGAAGAAGAUUAUUUGGCGAUCUAUCCUAUAACAACUUAAGCUCAUCAGUUGAUUCAGUCGAUUCAUUUUGCCGAAGCCGACAAACUAAAUUGUAAGAAUGCUUCUUUCCUACUUAAUAACUACUACCAUAAUCUCUCAAAAAAUUUCUGUGUAUCCAGCUCAACUUUUCACUCUCUAUUUUCUACAGGAACUUGUUUGGAAGCUCUUCAGAGGACAAUGCUUCGUAAAUUUCUAAAACUUUCAUAAUAUUUUUUUGUUGUUUUCAUAAAUUAUUUGGGCACUGUUUCAGUUUAUUUCUUUCUUAUCUAACCUAAAUUCUAAUAUAAUAUGUUGCUGACUGGUUCAUGAUCUCAUGUUGUUCUGUCAGUGAAAUUCUUGCUUACCGUGGUUGUGUACGAAGUAAGUAGAAAUAUUAUUUAUUGUGUUGAUAAUUUGAGAGUUAUCAUUGCUGUGUAAAGCAUUUACCUGUUUUUAAGGCUUACACACUUGGGGACUGGAAACUGAAAAUAUGAUGUUGGGAUUCCAUUUGUCUUCUUUCCAGGUGUAGCUAGUGGAUAAAAAAUGGUGGCUUAAAGAAGAUUUUUUUUAGAAAAAAAAUGUUUAGCUUCUUUUAGGUUAAAAUCACAAAUAAGGAUAAAAAUGUACUUGACUGUUUAUUUUUUGGGGGCUUAGGGGGAUGGCGUUAUCGAGUAAUUCUUUCCUAGAUCUCUUUGUUUGCUAUCUUUCUUUUUAUUUCAAAGGUAAAUAAUCUAGUUAUGUUUUUGUCUCAGAUGUCUCUUCUUUCCAUAUAAAUUGUGGUGGAAGUGAAGUAGUUGUUGAUGGAAAAACAUAUGAAAAAGAUAUAGAUUCAGCUGGGUCUUCAUGGCUUUUCAUAAGCCCAACUAAUUGGGCAUUUAGCAGCACUGGUGACUUUGUGGAAGAUAAUUGCCCUUCAAAGACAUACCAUUGAACUUUAAUGUCCUGUGGUCCUUCCCAUCCUGAUCCUGUUUGAUUUAAUGAAUAUUUAUGUAGGAAUUGGUUGUAUCCUGUCAUUAGUGCGCUUGUCAAAGUGAAUUUUGUAGUUUGUUAUCUUUUUUGUCAACUGUAGUUCCCAUUAACUAUUUUUUAUUUUAUUUAACAUCCUAUUGAUUUGUUGAGAACUUCAAUUUAUGGGACCUGAUGUUGAUGGCAUUCAGAUAAAGGCAUUCAGAUAAAACCCAAGUCAAAGCACAUAUGGAUAGACCAUUGCAGCCUCUGUGAUUAUGAUGAUGGACUGAUAGAUAUCACCCGAGAGAGCACAUAUAUUACAAUUUCUAGGUUUGGGAAAGUACAUUUAUAUAAUAAUUACACCAGAAACUGGGGGCAUUUAUGCUGUAUGUGCCAGUGUAGAAUCACAGAUAUAUUCACAAUGCAAUAUAUAUAAAGCAGGACAGAAGAAGGUGGCUUUCAAAUAUCUAACAGAGAAGGUAAUUUGUUUUAUCUUGGCAUUCUAUCAAUGAUAUCUGAAACUUCAUAUGAAGACAUUAGUGACUUCAAGAAAUUGUUUCUUUAAUGGCACAAGUUUCUUUAUGUUGCUUCAAGAAACAGUUCAAAUGCAUGCUUGGGAUGGUAAAAUUUCAUCCCAUGAUAGGGAACUCCUCACUUUAAGCAGGGAAUUUUUACUU
Molecule: non-coding RNA, 2940 nt
Organism: Camellia sinensis
Lineage: Eukaryota; Viridiplantae; Streptophyta; Magnoliopsida; Ericales; Theaceae
Source: RefSeq, a predicted model, not a curated record